UAUAGGAUUAUUGGUACAAAAUUAAUAACGAAUGAAGAAUUAAGUACAUAUAUUUUUAUUUUAUUUAAUUAAAUACUGAUAUGAUUUUAAUUUCAAUCUAAUUAUAAUUAUCAUAGAAUGAAUAUAUUGUGAUCCAACUUCAUCAAGCCUUCCCAUAGAGAGAACUAUGUAUUAAUUAAUAAUUAAGGUUCAAACUUAAUUAUUUUUUUUUCUUUACCGAUUUAAAUACAAAAUGUAUUUAAAGUGUGACUUUUACUUAAAGCGGAUUACUCAACCAAUGGAACAAAAAAGAAAAAGAAAAACCCAACUAAUUACAGAUAAUAGUAUUUGUUUUCAAAAUCCUAGUAUAUAUGAAAUAUAAAUGCUUGCACGAACUAUUAAUAAAUAAGUUUUUUUGCUUGAUAUACAAUUAAUUAACUCGUGCAUGGUUUUUUUUGGUUUUGCGUGCGUUAAAAUGCGUGCAGGACGAGUGGGUGGUGUGCCGGGUGUUCAUGAAGAGCUCCGGGGGGAAGAAGUACCCGUCGUCCAAUACCCACCACCCACGUGGCGGCGGGGCCCACCCCUACGCCCUGGACCACCUGGGCCCGCCCCUCCUCCCCUCCCUCGUCCCGGCCGACCCCUUCUCCCGCAGCGCCUACCUGGCGGCGGCGACCGCUGAGCUCGCCGAGCUCUCCCGCUUCACCCGCGGCGGCGCCGCCCACCACCCGGCCUUCGCCACCCACAUCCAGCCCCACCCCGCCGCGUUUGUGGGGGGCCCUGCAGCGCCGUCGGCGGUGCCGUUCGCCCUCUCCGGCCUCAACUUAAACCUCGGGGCCCCGCCGCCCCCCGCCCCGAUCCUACGCGGAAUGUCGAUGCAGCUCAAUCAGCCCAUGCAAGUUCUGGCUGAUCAGCAACAACAACAGCAGCAGCAGCAGCACGCGUCAGUGCUGACCAACUGUGCUGGCAUGGCGGGAGACGGAGGGUUCGGUACUGCAGACAUGAGCGCUGCAGGGACCGGAAUCAGAUACCACCAGAAUCUGGACUCCUGUGUGGAGCUAGAGGGAUACUGGCCCUCUUACUGACGCAGUAGGAAAUGGGUCAUAAAUUAGAACUAUGGUGUUCUAUAUCUGUGUAACAUUACGUAGCUGUAAUAUUUAGUUGGAGUUUUUUCUUUUCUCUUCUUUUCUUUUCUUUUUUCUCUCUGUUUUCUCUUGUUGGUGGGAAACUAAGAUGUAGAAGUUCAGUAGAGAUGAUAACUUCUUUGCCUAAUGGAGUGGGAACUGUAGUGCAGUGUAAGUUAUUGCCAAGUUUGAAGUUUUCUUAUUACAAUUGCCAAUUUGCCAUGUAAAGUGGACUUUGACUAUUAACGGCUAUUUCCAAGGAGAAAAAAAAAAAGAAUCUUAAGAAGAUAAAAGAAUGUUCAGUUUCGGAAGAUAAAAGAAUGUUCAGUUUCGGUGGUUGCACCAAACUCACGAAACAAUUAAUGUUCUUGAGCAAUGGAAGAUCUGGAGUUCAUAUUUUGCUCCGGCAUUGUGGAUCAAAAAAAGUGGCCAAUCCAUUGGACUUGAAAACAUCAACACGUGCACACACAACAAAAAAAUAAAAUAAGAAUGAAGAGGGUGAAAGAAUUAUGAUGUAUAACUCAUCAUCUGUGAUCCUCAUCAUUAAAUCUAAAAGAUAACAGUUUUGAGAUUUUAAAUCCAAUGGUUUUAGUUCCAAAAGUGCAAAAAAAAAUGAAUCUCAAUGGUCAGAGACCCAUUGCAAUUUUGGGUCCAAAAGCCUAAUGAAUGAUAACAAAACUAUUACAUAUGCCCAAAUAGGAAGGUAACCACAUUGAAAGUAAUAAAUAGUACUAUUACAACAAAUGAUAAAGGUACAAACCACAAACAAACUACGUCCUAAAUAGACAAAUUCACAAGGAAAAAGAAAAGUAAGGAGAGAAAUAAGAACUGCACAAAUUGCAGAGAAUAAAGACAAAAUGAAAACGUGUCUGUCGGUGUAUGAAUAUUGGGCCAAAGUUUUUUUCAACACAAAGGGUCACCCUAAUAAACCCAAAAGCUAUUCUCCUAAAACGAAGGAAUAUUAAAAGCUCCAUCUACCAAACAGCAUGCUGUGAAUACCCAGACACAUCUGCAUGUACCAAAAUAUUUAAUUCGUUAUUCAAGUUUGAACAAGGAAAAAAAAAAAGAAAAAAGAAGGAAAUAGCAUCACAGUGCAAAGUGACUAAAUUUAGUUUUUAGUUCACAGCAUUAGGAUAUACUGCAAACAAACUACAGAAAAAACACAAGAUUAGGGCUGGUACUCAAAGUUGGAUCGAACACCAAUUUGGUCCCUACACUUUGAAACCUUGCAAUUGCACAAUAGAAUUACUAAACCCAGCUUUUUCUUUGCGCAGUUCUCUUAGCCGAGAGGCGAGAAAAGUUAAAAGUAAAUAAUUAGCAGUGAAAAGCAAAGUGAAAAUUUUGCGCCUUUUUUAUCAGAGGAAAGGUUCAACAGCAAACAAAUGCGAAAAAGCAUCGCAUAAAUUGGACAAAUAUAUUAUAAGGCUAAAUUUGGAGCUUACGAUAAAGUGCCGAAACUUACAUGGAAUAUAACCGCUGCAUAAUCAACUUCAAAAUAUGUAGCUAUAUUCUACUUCUCAGCAUGCCUUCGCUUGUGUCUCCGAUGUACAUGAUUUUUAUUGGCAUUUUGUGUUGGUUUCCUUCCUUUCUUACUCCUACGUAAUGAAAAAUAAUGUCCCGAUCAACAAAUGAUAAUUGUUAAAGCAAAGUGACGGAAUAAAAUAGAAGACAAAUUCUUUACAUGUCAUGAAUCACACUGACCAGAAAAUAUCUGUUAGGAGUUUGUAAACAAUGAAAACAGGUGACGCCAGCAGUGCAGAAGCCUAUAAAGACGGAAAGGUUGAAUGACUAAUAAAGAGAAAAUAUUUAAAGAAAUUAUAGAAGUUGACAAUAUUAGAUAAGGUUUGUGAUGCAGCAUACCAUAAACCACACCAGCUCCUUCGUUGCUAGUGGUUUUGUUAUUUCAUGUUUCUCUAGAUGAUCCAGGAUAGUUCCUUGCACCUAGAACAAAAUCAGACAAGUUUGCUUUCAUUUUUUAUUAAUCUAUAAAACCAUUUAAAACUAGAACUGGUAAAAUAAAGAAUAGCAAACAUUUUCAGUCACAAGAUCACAUGAAAGACAUGACAUAACAGAUGGUCCUCAUUGAAGUGAUGUGUUCUACACUAAAUACCAAUUUGUCAAGUAGCCAUCUCGCACACAGGUCAGGAGAUAAAUUCUAUUUUAAAAGAAUAGAUCUGUUGUCCACAUUAUCAUGAUAGGCCUGCUUAAUUAUAGGUAAUAACUAAAAGCACUGAACCGUAAGUCAGAAGGCAGAAGAGGAUAACAAAUGCAAUAAAAAAAACCAUAGUGACCCACCGUGAAACAGAUGUGCAGAAUAAUGCUAGCUCAUGGGAACAAAUAAAGGAAAAAAAGUUUAAACAGGUCGUCGGGCUACACAAAUAGCCUAAUCCACAAAUUUAGGCAAGAACUGACAUAACUAUAGCUGGUUGAGAGUAAUUUGCAGCUUAAAAACUCCACAGUUUGAAAGAAAAUUCUUCAAAUCAGUACUCAUAAUAAAACCAAAACAUUCAAACAUUCUAUGGAACUUUUGGUGCCUCUUAAGGGCAAAGUUAAUAUGGUCCAGCCAGAACUUUCAGAGAAGUCUGUAUAGGCAGACUUACACCAAGCAAAUGAAACACUACAGCAUGAAGCAGAGCACCAAAUUUUAACAACAGUGAAAAAAGAGACUGCAGAAAGCAACAAAUACCUGUCGAUGAUAAAUAUUUGCUGAUUUGAGAAACUUUCCGUAUGCACGAACUACUUGCUCUGAAUAAGGUUUUGCAACAAUCCUCACUUUCUCGACAUGUGGUUUGGCAAACUUAGCAACUUGAUCAACAUAGGGUUUUGACAACUUUUUUGUUUCCUGUUGCCAAAAGAAUAUUACCAGAAGUAUAAAUUGCAUACAAGAGAAUAAAAAGUGAACUGGUUUUUCCACUUGCCAGGUAGCCUAGAUUGAAGUACCUGGAAAUAGGGAUCUGCAAAAUCUUGCACUUUGGCAACAUGAGGUGCAAUAGCAUUCUUGGAUACCUGGUAAAUCUCAACAGCUUUUGAGGAGGCAGUGUGCACGUAGGGUUCAGCUGUUGUUAUAAAGACAAGCCAUUGUUCUUUAACAACAGGGAUCCAUUUCUACAGGAAAUAAAUCAGAACAAAAAAUUAGUGGACUCUUAAUAGAUCAAGUUAAAACCAAAUUAUUAAACAUAUAAAAUAUGAACUUUACAAAUAUGGAAUAAUAUUUUCCUUUUACCUAAUUUAAUGUCCCCCUAUGGUCCCUACUAUAUUAAUUGAAUACCACAGUAAUAAUUAUCAGAAACUUACAGUCUUAGCAGUCUCCAAGUGGGGCUCAGCCCAUUUCUUCACCUGAAUUGAUUUCUCUGAUGCCUGUAAUAAUUUUAGAUAGAUAGAUGACCAUCCAAUGAUCCACGGUGAAUUCUUAGACAUGUUUUAUGAUGCCUUAAGUAAAAGGAAGCAGAAAUUUCUCAGAGAUGAAAUUGGAAACAGCGUGAAGGACCUUUUGCAAGAAAAUAUCAAGUGUAGGUUUUGCAUGCUCGUUCCAAUGGGUUGAAGCGAGCUCCUGAAGGACAAAAUUACAAAGGCAUUGAGAAGAAUUAUACAAGUACAUUUUACAUUACCAAAAAUGUGGGACAUGAUAUACCUGACAAUAGCUUAUAUAAGUUGCAAGCCAAGGUGGCAACCAUGCUCCGUGAGCCUGCUCAGAAACAUUUAAGAUAAUCAUUUUGCUGCAGAUCUGUUAGUAAUCAAACAUAAAAAACAAAAAAUAUAUAUAUUUGCAAACAAGAAAUGCUCACGGAAUUAGAGUCUUACCUCCCUCAACUCUUUUGACUUUGAUGUUGCCUCUAGCUGUACUCUCAUCAACUCCUCCUGAAACAAGUUCAGGGAAAAGAGAAACAAGAAUCUCACUGCCCUGUCAUGGAAUACUUUAGCCAUAAUUCCUGUAUAUAACACAAACCUCGGCUGCUUGAAGAGCUCGUUCAAUUAUCAGAGUCCUUCGUUUUUGUUCAUCACUAGAGCUUUGGAGCUACCAAGUGGCAAAAAAAAAAAAAAAAGAAAAAAAAAAAGAAGAUAACACAAACUCGAAAGAAUAGGCAUUAUUAAACAAAGGCAAAUACAUAAAGCAGUAUUUCUUGUCACAAGGCAGUGUGCCCAGAAAUCUUUCAUCUUGGGCAAAUUUCCUUAAUCUCGAGGUGGUUCUAUAAUAGUUAUUUGAAGGCCCUCUAUGGGAUGUGGAGUAAUUCAGAAAUUUAAGAGCAUUAGCAUUAUAUUCCUCAUGAAGUUACAUAAAAGUUGCAAUGAUGCAUGAAGUAGGUAUUGAGCCUAGAGUGGAAAACUAAUUCUGUACAUCAGUUUGCUCAUCUCAUCCUCCCAAGCUACAUAAUCCCUAUGAUAGUGUUUGGUUGGACAUUUCUUUGAAAUACUAUUAUGGAGGUAGUUCUAUAAUAUGAUAAGCAUUUUCAAAAGGCAACUACAACUCCUAAGUUACAACUAGACAGUGAGUUAGAGUAGCAGACAAUGUAUUUACUAAAGGAGAUUAAACCAUUAACAGAAACAUAACUUGAUCAUCGAAAUACUUUGUCCACACGUAUGAGAUCUAAUUUAAAAGAAGAAAGAAUUCUUUUUGAAAUUCAAUUAUGGAAAUUCGAUUUAGCCCAAACAUAAUUAAUCAAGAAUCUUACAAUCUGGAUAUUGAACCCCACCCGAUGCCUAAAUUUCCAUGAAUAAUACAAAAUAGGAUGAGUUGUCCCCAUACCAGAAAUAGAGUAAUUUUAAUUAUGUUUCUGGUUAAGCAAUCAUGUGUGAUGUAGCCAAAUGACAGAAAAAAAUGAGUUAUGUAAGUCAAACUUUAUUCUUUCUAUUCACCAAUUGUCUAUGAUGAACACAAUUGGAAGUUUGACAAUCAGUUGCAUCAAGAUAUUACUAAGAACUUUGGCAUCACGCCAAAACUUAUCUUUUCACAACACUAUCUGUACCCUUGAUGAUAUCGAAAUUGACAAAUCCAAGGUAUGGCCUCAUCAAUUGUUAGCAAAGUUGUAUUUGGAUUCUCUAACAUAGAAAUGUUGUUUCACAGGUCACAGAAAAUUUAAUCAUCAUUGACAUUACUCUAGCGUAUUGCUAACUACAUUGUAUGGUAGGAUUAGCCUCCUAGAUGUCAAAUUCUAUUUGUAAAUCAUAGGUCUUCUAUUGUGUAUAGUUCCAUUGAAUUCUGUCUAAUCUUGUGCGCUACAAAUCUCAUAUUAAAAUCCAGAAUCUCUUUACAUGUUUCAAGCAUCUUCGCUAUUUGAUCACUACAACCAAAUACUUACACUUUCCAGCUUCUUAGUCAACUCUCGCACUUUCUUCUCUGCUUCAUUUGCUCGAGCCUCCAAAGCAUUUCUCAAGCUAUUCUUUAAUUCAAACUCAUUUCUGAGUCUCUCAAUCUGCACAGAAAAAGAAAUAGGAAAAAAAAACUCAAAAUGAAACUACCAAUUCGGAAUUAAAUCAAACGUUAUGAGAUUCAAACCUGCUUCUCAAGCUCGCUAGCUCGAGCAUAGGCCUUCCCUGCUUUCUCCUCCGCAUCCAAAGUGCCCUUUUUCUGCAUGUCCAUAGAAAAAUUAGAAAAAUUCUAUCAAAUUCCAAACAAAAGGUCACUAGAAGAAAGUUAAAUUGCAGCUCACUACAAGCCUACUCGGAUUGUCUCUAUCUCAUCCUGCAGUGAGGCGAUUCUUUGUGACUUGUCCUCAAUCGUACUCUCCAAUUUCGCAAUGGUUUCAUCCUUGGUUUUCAACUCCCCAGUUCUCUCCGCAAUACUCUUCUCUUUAUUACAGUAAAACAGGAGAAGGAAACACAUUAAUACACAGAAAAGGUGCAAUACGUUACCACCCGCUAUCAAAAAGAAUCAAGAACUACAACAUCUGAUUAUCCGAAGACAAAACCUUAAGAACCAAGCACGAAUCUCAAAAGCAAAUCUUUCUGAUAUCGCCCCCAAAGAAUGCAAUAAUUGAACAGGAAUUAAGACGCAAGAACCCUCCGUCCUCAAAACGCUAGCCGAACCACAGAUCGAGACUCGAAACCCUAGCUCGAAACCCUACCAAAGAUCGGAUUCGCGACUCACCUAGCGCCGAGAUCUCCGCGCGGAGCCGCUCCAACUCGAGCUUCGUACUCAAAUCCGGCGCUCCUCCGAUCUCCACCUCCUCCUCCGCCCAAACCCCCACCAACGCGAUCGAGAUCGCGACCCACGCGACCAGGAGCUUCGGAAACCCCAUGGGAGUCGAGACAAAUCGAAAAAAUUAAUGGAUAAAACCAAAAAGGAAACCCUAGAUUUCUCAGAGAGAGAGACGGAUUAGAAAAGGAAUGACGCCGCCGAAUCGGGUCGUUAGAUAUUCGUUAAACCAACAUUGUGAUCCGUACUGCCACGUGGCACCUGGAGAUUCGAUCAGAUCCCAACGAUUUUGAGCGGUUUAAAACACGCCUCCUCUCUCGAUUCACCCUCCCUUCUUCUCCAGCCGCUUCUCCAGGUCCCUCUCUCUCUCUCUCUCUACCCUGAUCUUUUAAUCAAUUUAUUUUUUUUUCUAAUGCUUUUAUUAUUAUUCAUGCAUGUAGAAUGAUCGAUCUAUUUGAAAUAUUCAAAGAGCUUGUGAUUAAUGUUUUGUUUGAUUCUAAUUGCAUGGGAAAUUAUUUGAAAAGAAUUAUUUUAAAUUUUGUUGUGUAAAAGAUAUAGUGUCGAAAUUAAUUCUAAACUCUUUCCUUCUAUGAGGUCGUAGGUUCAACCUCUACUCUUUAAAUUUAACUGUAAUUAUAUUAUUAUAAGUUAAAUCUCCAUCUUAAAUCGUACGUAAUUAUAUAAGAUUUUUACUAGAUCGAUCUUGUGGAUGACCAAGAGUAAAUCCUUAUAGAAUUCAGGUCUAAUUUGGGUCAGCCCAACUCUAUUUUGUUCGUUCAUAUUUUGAAUCUUAAUUGCCUUUUAUGCCCAACUCUAAAAAAUGUGUGAAAAAAUAUCGGAUAGAAAUGAUAAAAAAUUAGUUGUUUUUUUGGCACUUGGAUUAAAGAAAAUUAUAUCAUUUUUUUUAGCACUUUAAAAUCAGUUAGCUCUUAUAUGUCGCAGUGGAUGAUUCCAUUAUUCAUAAUAAAAAAAAUUUUGUUCAAAGCAGAAUUAAGUUUUUGGAAUUGUUGUUAGUUCUAAUAGAAAUUAGUUUAAAAUUUCUUACGCAGCAAUUUGCUUCAAUUCUAUGAUGCAGAUGCGUAAAGAUACAUCAAUGAUGUUGCACAAAGGUGAGGAGCCAGGGGAGAAGAUGAAUCUAAUGGAUUAUGAGUAUUCCUCUUCAGAGGAUGAUGAUUACGUCCGGACAGACGGUACACGCAGAAGGACCCGUGAAGAAUGGAUUAGAUAUUAUAAACAAAUUGAGGAAAGCGAGGUAAUUUAAUACUUAUCGAGAGUCCGGUUGGAUUAUCGAUAGUAAAACGUUUGGUGCUAUCAAAUUUUUCGCCAUUAGUUUUAAUCCCUUGACUAUUUUUAUCUGUAAGAUUAUACCAUCAAACCAAUAACUCACUCAGCCCUAGAGGGUCCCCAUCAUCCUAAUCGUACAUUUUUUUCAUCCAAGGGUCGAAAACCUAAUAGCACCAAUAACUUUGUACUAUUGAUAGUAUUCCAGCCUAAAAUCGAAGAUUCGAAAUUUUUUUUUUCAUACUAAUUGUUAAUAUAUGUCUUAUAGGGAUUUGACGUUGAUCCGAUUCCGGGCACAUGUGAGCAUGGUCUUACAGGGUUAGAGAAUUUUGAUUCUGUAACCCUCGUCGAAAGUACGAAAGCGGCUAUUGAACAUUUUAACAUCGAGAAUGUACGUUUAUACUGCUUUAUCUAUUUUCUUUUUUGUUCUUUCUUUCUACUUUUUUUUGUUAAUUUGUUAGAAUUACUUUUUGGAAUUUUUUUUUUAAUGCAGAAUACGAGCUAUAAGUUUGUAAAGAUAGAGAGGGCAACUUGCUGCGUUGCCGCAGGAUUUGAGUAUCGUAUUACUUUUCAAGCAGUUGAUGGUGAAGCCGAACCCAAAACAUUCCAAGCUAUAACGUUUUAUUGGAUAGAUUGUAGUAUUACUGUUGACUUUUGCAGGCUUAAGUCCAGUGCAAGUUCAUAAAAUGUGUAUUUCUAGUUAUUUGUUUUUUAUACUUUCGAGUCAUAAACUCAUAAUUAUGUGCAUGUAAUACUUAAUUAACUGAGACAUUUCUUAUUUAAUUGGACACUCUUUUAUAGUUUAGACUUGCACUUGAAAACUAUCUCAUGAAAUGAGAAUGACCUUUCGUAUGGUACAAGUAAGUUAUACUAUUUGGCUUGUAGUGGUGUUUCUAAAGCUUGAUUUAUAUCUUAUCAUUAAUGGUGCUAAAUUUUGUUUUAUGAAAAAAUUUAGCCACCACAGCAAUCGUAUAUUCAUUCAAAUUGGUAACUUUUUGGACUACUAAAUUGGGAAUUCGGGCUAGGUCUCUAUAUCUUUUACCGCCUUUCAUGAGAUUCUUGAGGAAAUGCUAAGCAUCAAUUAUUGUAUGCUAGUUUCUAAUACAUAUCAUGUAUGAUAAUAAUUAAUAUUAAUAAAAAGUAAUAAGCAAUACUUUUGUUUAAAUAUUCUGUCUAUUGAAAUCAUUUAUAAGUCAAUAUAAUAUCCACACUGUUAUUUGUAUCAAUGUGGACAAAUUUAUCUUCUUUAUAGUAUUUGUGGGUGGUGUUUUAUAUGAGAAAUUAAAAGUUUGUAGUGUAAAGAGUUUCUUUGAAGUUUAAUUUUAGUUCACUGUAAUUAAAUAUUUUAAUUGUUAAUUCAAAUUUGAUAUUUAAAAUUUAUAAAUUUAAAUUUUUUAAAAUUUAAUUUUGAUCUACUGUAAUUGAAAUUUUUUAAUUGUUAUUACAAAUUUGAUAUCCAAAAUUAAAUUCAAUUCAUGAUUUAAACUCAAAUUUUUAAUUUUAAUAAAAUCUAUAGAUAGGAAUAACAGAUUGAUCACAACAGAUAAUUUUUAUUUGAAAUAUAUUUUAACAAAUUAAUCAUAACCAUUCAUAGGAUUUGACAUAUUGAUGAAUAAGAAUGCUAUUUUUAACAGACUGAUCACAACCAUUCAUUUUUAUUUGACAUAUUUUUCAACAAACUGAUUACGUAAGGAAUAUUCGUUUAUUCCUUUUUGGAUUCCGUCUGUUGGAAUUUCUAUACGUUUUUAUAUAUAGAACUAGUUGAGUGUACGUGCAAAUACAUGUAACAGUUAUUUUAAUUUAUUUUAAAUCAAUAUAAAUUUGCACAUUAUAUUUAUUUAAAAAUUUAUAAUUUAUAAAUUCAUAUGUUAUAUUUUAUUAGAAAAUAUUUGUAAUAUUUUAUAUUUUUCUUUCUUUAUAUACAUUAAAUAUUUUUAUAUAUUUUUUAUUUUCUGAUGAUCUAAAAUUUAAACAUAUGUUGUAAACAAAAAGCAUCAAAAUUUAAUUCAUAUUUAUUUCAAAAUUUAAAAUUUAAUUUUGAUUCAUUAUAAUUAAAUUUUUUGGAUAAAAAUGCUAUUUUUUAAUAGAUUAAUCAUAACCGUUCGUUUUUAUUUGAGAUUUUUUUAAUUAAGUGAACUGCUCAAUUUUAACUGACACAACCGUUCGUAAGAUUGAAUUUAUAGAUUGAUAAGAAUGCUAUUUUUAACAAAUUAAUUAUAACCGUCUGUUUUUAUUUAAUAUUUUUUAAUUAAGUGAUCAUACCAUUCAUAGAAAAUAUACGGAAUAUUUUUUUAUUCUUUUUUGGAUUCCUUUACAGAUGAAUAAGAAUGCUAUUUUUUAAUAAAUUAAUCAUAACCGUUCGUUCUUAUUUAAAAUUUUUUGUAGGAAAUAUAGAAAAAUAUUCUUUUAUUUUUUUUGGAUUCCGUCUAUCAUGGUAGGAAUUCUUAUACAUUUUUAUAUACGCUUUUAUAGAUGGUAUAUAGAUUUUGGAUUCCGUUUGUCGGAAUUCUUAUACGAUUUUACAUAUAGUAUAGAUAUGGAUAGAUAUCUAUAUCCAUAUCUAUAUCUAUAUCUAUAUCUAUUUAUAUCUAUAUCUAUACUAUAUAUAAAAACGUAUAGAAAUUCCGACAAUAACAGACGGAAUUGCAAAAGAAAUAAAGUAAUAUUUCCUAUGGAUGGUUAUGAUUAAUUUGUUAAAAAUAUCUCAAAUAAAAACGAACGGUUAUGAUAAAUCUAUUAAAACUCUACUAUAUAUAUAAAUUAUUCCCAACAAAUAAAAACGAACGGUUAUGAUAAAUCUAUUAAAAGUUCAAAUUCUUUCCUCUGUAGUCUCAAUUGAGAGGAGGAAUAAUUGAACUAUCAUCAAAGAGCACGCUUCACUAGAGAACAAAAAAUUAGCCAAAAUACUAAUAUCAAAACAGAGAAAUUAAAGAAUACUAUGAUAAUAGAAUCUGAAAAAUGCGAAUGGAAAACUGUUCACCAAACAAGAGCUUAAAACAAAAAAAAGCUCAAAACCAGUCAGUAGGCCUAACAAACCUAAUCAAACAUUAUAAGAAAAAAGAUAUCUUUUUUACUUCAGAAACCACAAGAUCUAUAGCCAACCAACUCCACAAAAACCAAUGUUUAAAUCAAACAAAAAGCACCACCAGAUCCAAAAGACCCUCUUGGAUCUCUCCACCUUCAGAGAUGGUGCUCUGGAUCUGGGCACACUUGACGACACAUUUCAUCGAUAAAAGUCCACUAAAUUGUACAACAAAUUCUUGGCAACAAUAUUACUUAAUAAUAAUGAGACAGAAUUACCUUGGUAUCUAUACUAACUGGAUGUUGCACAAUAUAAAACUUCUUAUUUUCUUAACUGCAUUGAAAUGCUUUUUGUGAAUUAUAAACCAAAAAGUUAAACUUUUCAAAUACUAGAAAAGUCAACUGAAUCAAAUGUAACCCACCCAGUAGAAAUCAACAAAUACAUUCUUAAACAAUUCAGAACCACACAAGAAUGGUAGCAAGUGAGACCCUGCAUAGAUUGGCCCUAAAUUUCAAAUCAUUACUAAGAGGAACAUAUCAGAGUUAAGCCAGUAACAUGAGCUUGUAUCCACAUGCUUUAUUUUCUUAGCAAAGAUAACCCCAAUGCCAACUAAGAUCAACCAAUGCAGCUAAAACAGAAAGUGCAAAAGAAUUUUAACAGCACCUCUGCUCAAAUCCAAAACAAGCUGCUCUCUUGGGCCCCAAUCUGACUUCUUUACUAAAGACUAAACUGUCAAAAACAGAUGAAACAUACAUCUCCAAAAAAGAAACUAAAGAAAACUAUAGCGAUAAUAGAAACUAUUUAGGAAUUACUUACUAAAGAAAUUUUAUAGAUCGAUGAGUAAGAGUUACGCAAGCACUGGCAGUUUACAAAAUUAAAUAAUAUCUAUUUCUCGCAACUAUAAAGGAUAGCAAAUUGGUUGAACAACUAAAAUCAGCACAUCACUGUAUUUCAACUGUCUUCAAGACAACUACCAAUCAGAAAUCCAUAUAAGCGGUAUAAGUAUAUAAAAGUGGCAACAUAUUUACCCAAGCCUUUUUACACUAUAAAUAAUAAGAAAUCUACCUUUUACGAACUAGCAGUGGACUUAAGCCUGCAGAAGUCAACAAUGAUACUAUCAUCUAUCCCAAGAAAUGUUAUAGCUUGGAACAUUUUGGGUUCGGCUUCACCAUCUGCUGCUCGAAAAGUAAGACGAUACUCCAAUCCCGAUGCAAUAAUGCAAGUUAUCUUCUCUAACUUCAAAAACUCAUAGCUCGUAUUCUGCAUUAAAAAAGAAAUUCCGAAAGAAAUUAUAACAAAAAAGAGAAAAAAGAUAAAAAGAAAGAAUAAAAAGGAAAAUAGAUAAGGCACUAUAAAUAUACAUUCUCACUGUUAAAACGUUCAAUAGCUGCUUUUGCACAUUUGAUGAUGGGCUCGGAAUCAUAACCGUCUACCCCUCUAAGACCAAGCUCCAAAUCGCUCGUAAACGGAUCAACGUCAAAUCCCUAUAAAACAUACUUACAAUUAGUAUGGAAAAAGAUUUCAAACCUUAAUUCUCAAAAGGAUGUUGAUAAAUAUUAAAUUACCUCGCUUUCCUCAAUUUGUUUAUAAUAUCUAGCCCAUUCUUCGCGGGUCCUUCUGCGCUCACCAUUUGGCCAGACGUAAUCGUCAUCCUCUCCCGACGAAUACUCAUAAUCCACAAUAUUCUUUUUCUUCUUAUUCUUUUCCUCUAAUUCUUCAUAUUUUCCACACCGAUUCUUUUCCCCUACUUCACAUUUUCCACGCCUACAGGUCUCCUCCUCCUCUUUCUUCUCCUCAUGCAGUUUCAUCAUUUUUUGCGGUGAUUCUUCAAGUAUCACCUGCUCAGCAUUUUUCCUACAUAAAGGAAUUAAACAUAUUAAUAUAUAUUAAUCUUUUUGUAUUUUACACAUUUUACUAAAGACUGUUUGUGCAAAAAGUAAAAGUAGAAGCACAAGCGAGACUAAAGAGUUCCUUAUGCUUGAUACUUGAUAAACGUGUGGUAACGGUGCUACAUAAAGACCUUCUACAGGAAUUAACCAGCACAUCUAACACAACUAGGCUGCAGUUUUUCUAAGCUCCAUUGAAAACAUAUAAUAAAUCCAGAUUGUUGUUGUUGUUGUGUGUGUGUGUGUCAUUUGACAUAACAUGACACAACUAGGCUGGAUAUGUUAUGCAGGUUUUUGUAUUGUGUAUAUGUGCUGUAAAGUAUAAUCUACUUUGUAUAACUGAAACAACACUUUUAUUGUAAAAUGACUAAACAAAUAACAUGUGACCUGUUCACGCUGUUCCUAUCUGCCUUUAUUUACUAACAACUAUCCAGGGCAUUAUGAUGAAAUUUAUGAUUAAAAUCUGAAUUCUCCAAUUCUUCACAAUCUCUUUUUUGCACAAUUUUGAUUGGCUUCACAAAAAUUGGCAGAGACAUUAGUGCACUCUAUCCUCGAGCCGUGUGAAGAUGCUGAUUUCACAUUUCCAGUGAAUUUUAACCUCGGAGAGCAUACUAUGUAGACUUGUUGUCAUCCUUACCUCGAGGAUUUCUUAGAGUGGGUCACUAACCUAUUCGAGACAAUUAUUUUCACAGCUAGUCAGAGCAUCAAUGAAGAGCAGCUUCUUAACAUUCUUGAUCCGGAAAGAAAAUUAUUCUGCCACCAUGUCCUACAUCUCUUGGAGGGCAACUACUUCAAGGACCUAUCAAUUCUUGGUUGUGACUGACUCGUGUUACAGCGUUGUUGAUAAUUCCUCUCAGGUUUUCAUUUUUUUUACAUCGCCUAGCCUAAUUUUGCAAGACUCUUUUUUUGCAGCCCUGUUUUUCAUUCAUUCUUUUUUAAAUUUUUGGGUUGGCUUUUACUUCACUUGCUUCUACAAUAAUGCUGCUCUAAGUUUUUCUUUUUCUAUUCUUCUUUAGGGGUGUUUGAGGCCGUUUUACCUCGCUUCAGUUAAUUUAGAGGGAAGAGCAGAAUAAUUUGCUAUAUGUUGCCAAUUCCAGAUUAAAAACUGUAACCAAACACAGUAGCUGCUCAAAGUUUAGCGUAAUUUCAGAUAUGAUUUCUAUGCUGACUUACAUAGAGGUGUGGAAUUACCACACCAAGUAAUCUUGUGGACUAGUAGCUAUACAAGAGUAAGGCUAAUCGAUGCAUAAAUAUUCACUACUUGAUGCAUUAAACACAGUUGUAACAUUCUACUUAUCUCUUAAUGCAAAAUGUAGUAAUUAAGAUUUUCUUUACUUGAUUUCAAUUAACGUUCUGCUUAGCUCUUAAUGCACUAAACUUGCUCGUAAUCUUACUGUUGAAACAAUAGUUGAUCCACUUGCUUACUAUUGCAUUUUUGUUUUGUAGGUCCUUCUAGGUUGAGGAAAUACUCGAGUGCCCAGAUUGAAAUUUUAGGCUUUUGGAAGUUAACUGGGAUUUUUUUUUUUUUUGGGGUUAAACUAUAGGAAUUUAGUGCCAUCUAGAACAGAUUUAUUAAACUAAUAUUUUGUAAUAGAAUUUUUGAUUAUUAAGGUUGUAUAUGAAAGCGAAGCAGUAUUUGUCAUAAAAAUUUUAUAAACAAGCUUUGAUGAUAAACGCAUUUUCUAUAUUAAAUUUUAUUAUUCAUUAGCUAUGGAUGAGGCAUUUUGACUAUUGUCAAAAUAGUAGCAAUAAUUAAUACUUUAUUAUCCUUUGAUUUAUAUGUUUUGACAAUUGUAAAUUUGUAAUUAUCUACAAUAUAUCUGCCUUACCAAACACUAGUAGAUGCAGCUAGACCCAGAUAUAGUGGCAUUGUAACAAAUGGCGAUUAUAAUCGAUAGCAACGCAGAGAAUAAUCGCCGCUAAAGAUUAAUUUGCUCGCAGCGAAAAAUAUAUAUAGUCCUACUCUAAAAGUCUAAAUUAGAUUCUGAGAUUUUACAUGAUUUUACUUUAAAUACAUAUUUAUUAUUUCAUUAAGAAACAGAUUCAAAAAACAAAUUAAUCUCUAAAACACAAUAUUAACAGUACCAGUAAUAACAUUAAAAAAAAAAAAAAAUCAACAGGUUUGGUUUCCGGUUGUGCUCUGUUUAACAUCGAUCCUAAUCAUACAUAUUGCAACUGAAACAAAUUUGUAUACGUAUAGAAUAUAGCAAAUAUAAACGUGUAUACCUUCUCCAGCUGAAGACGGUCCUCAGGACCAUAGUUAGUUAAUUCGGAUUCGGCAAAAAUUCGGUAUGGGUAUAAUUCGGAUAAAAUUCGUCUUCUAAUUUUUAAAUUCGUUGAAAAAAAACGGCUAGAAAACGGAUUCGCCAAUUAUUCGGAUACGUGAUUUAUACGGAUAUUAUUCGUUCACCAAUUAAAAAUUCGGGAUCAAAAAUUCGGCUAUUAAAUUAAAUUUUUUUCCUCUCAAGAUUUAUGCUAUUAGCAUAAAUACUCAUAUUUUUUAAGAAUAUAAGAAUAAAAAGCUACAAAAUUAAACUAAUUAAGUAAAAAA
This 15973-nucleotide long non-coding RNA is filed under the name Ananas comosus (pineapple). RNAcentral describes it as "long non-coding RNA (ACOM_LNC002754)". Lineage: Eukaryota; Viridiplantae; Streptophyta; Magnoliopsida; Poales; Bromeliaceae. The record is from RNAcentral.